UCCCCGGUAGCUCAACUGGUAGAGCAUUCGGCUGUUAACCGAAGGGUCGUAAGUUCGAAUCUUACCCGGGGAG
This 73-nucleotide transfer RNA is filed under the name Actinomycetes bacterium. RNAcentral describes it as "tRNA-Asn". It matches the Rfam family "tRNA". Rfam says of the family: Transfer RNA (tRNA) molecules are approximately 80 nucleotides in length. Their secondary structure includes four short double-helical elements and three loops (D, anti-codon, and T loops). Lineage: Bacteria; Bacillati; Actinomycetota; Actinomycetes. The record is from RNAcentral.